GGAGACAUAGCUCAGCUGGGAGAGCGAGCGACUGAAGUUCAGUCAUCAGACUCUUUCGAGAGAUCAUCGCUAGGUCGGGUGUUCGAUCCACCCUGGCUCCA
This 101-nucleotide transfer RNA is filed under the name Apiotrichum porosum. RNAcentral's name for it is "tRNA-Phe". The record is from RNAcentral. Lineage: Eukaryota; Fungi; Basidiomycota; Tremellomycetes; Trichosporonales; Trichosporonaceae.